AGUUAAACUUCGUUUUCCGCCAGUGAAUUUCAUCUGCUUGUACGGCUUAGUAUUGUGUGAAAUUCUUUGCGCAUAGGAGUUAGACGACCAAUCGUUUCCAUAUCUAUCAUGGUGCGACGAAUGAUCCAAAUGAAUAGAAAUCCAAAAUUUUCAAGAAUCCUUGAAAACGUAAAUUUGCCUUUGGACGUUUACCUCUUUGUAGCAGUCUACUUAACUUUAAAAGUCUUCUGACUUUUAACUUUGAUGUUGCCCGAGUGAAGUGAUGAGGGGAGUUUUAUUUUUUAAAAGGUCAACACCAAAAAGGAAAAAGAAUUAUUCUUUUCUCUGUGUGUAUAUAAGGAGGUUAAACAAAUCACGAGAUGGUUCAUGAGCGAUGGAAUAUGGACUCGCGUAUGGCGUCCUGUAUUUGAAGAUUUCGACGAAUUUGAGAGUAACGAUGACAAUUGCAGCAACGGCAAAGGACACGAGGACGAUUUUGAAUUUUAUUAGAAGUAGAGCUAUCCAACCCUUGAGACCACCCAAAACUGUGAACGAAGGAAAGAGAAAGAGAGAGAUAUAUAUAGAGAUGGAAGUCUAUUAUUUCACUAUGCAUUCGAAUCGCUUUAGGAUUCACACCCGGCCCCGCAUAGACGAGGACAAGAGUGUAAAGUGGUAUAAUAUAGAAAACGGAGAUGAUCAGAAGAACUUACGAAGGAGAUGAUGAUAUUUGUGUUUGCGAGAUUGCAGUCCAUUUCCGUUUGAUUCAUUGUCAUCGAUGUCAUUGUUAUUGGCGAGUUGUGACGUUUGAAUAGGAUCCGCAGCCAUCAUGCAAAUCAUCGAGACAACCAGGAAAAUCAAAACUCGCCGACGAUUCACUGUCACCGACAUUGCACGAGCUUCCGGAAGAAAGUGAAGAUUCGUUUUGGAACCGGAAUGGAUUGUGCGAUAUUGUUAUAUAUAUAUAUGUGUGAACAGCGAGGGAGAGAGAGAAAUAUACACACACCUCAAUGGUCGCAGGUCAAGAAAGCUUUGAUGACAAUGUGACAUGACAAUGAGAGACAAGAAUGACAAGAUACACGAGGUGUCAAAGCGUGAACAGAUAUUUGGACGAACGCAGGAAGGAUGUGACAAACGCACAACAUUAUUUGGGCGUUUCAAUGGUAGAUUAUAAAAAUAACUUGGAGCACGCUUCGACCGAAGAAAACUUGUGUAAGAUUGGAAUCCCCUGAAAUGGUGACACGUGCUGUCACAAAAUCAGCAUUUGUUGUUUAUUGUAUAUUUAAUAAAUCUUUUUUUUAUAGGAAUUAAAUUGGUAAAUAAAUGAACAAAAAAAAUUUUUUUUAUAAGUUUUUUUUAUUUUUUAAUAUUUUUCACAAAAUUUUGAAUUAAUAUUUUAAAAUGAGGCAGGCUCGAAUUCAUUCAAAUACUUUUCAUUUAAUAUAUUAUAUUCUGUUAACAUUUGCCUAUAAAUGAUCUCAAUUUCCCCACUGGUUAUAAAGAGCUGUUUCUAUCGUCUUCUAUGUCUCGUUUUAAAAUUUUUAUUUUAAAUUGCAAAAAUGUGCUGGCCUCUCGUUUUUUAGUCAUGAUAUACUCCAUUUUUUGAUCACAGAUUUUUCUGUUUAUAUAUUGAAGAAAAAAAUGUUAUUUUAAUUUCAAUUUUUUAAAAUCUUUUACAUUUUCAACAUGGUUUUAUGAUACAUUUUCAAUUAAUUAAUAUUUUUAUCAAUGAAAAUAUUCCCCGAUUACAGUAUAGAAGAGAUUUUUUCUUUCAAAUUAUUAUUAUUGUCGAUAAAUGUUCUCUUCAUUUUAGAUAAAAUAGAAAAAGUAUUUUUAUAUUUGCCUUAUUAUUUGGCACGAAAGUUCUCGAGGAAUUGAUUGAGAAACAAUAGUUGGAAAUUGAAGAGCUUCUUACUUUAUAAUUUCGAAAACUUUGGAUACAUAAAAUAAAUUUUCACAGUAUUUUUGCUAAAAAAAAAGAAAAAGAAA
Leptopilina boulardi is the source of this 1965-nucleotide long non-coding RNA. RefSeq lists it as uncharacterized. The record is from RefSeq and is a predicted model, not a curated record. The transcript is spliced from 5 exons. NCBI's taxonomy places the organism in Eukaryota, Metazoa, Arthropoda, Insecta, Hymenoptera, Figitidae.